CACGUAGGGGGCAAGCGUUGUCCGGAUUUAUUGGGCGUAAAGAGCUCGUAGGCGGUUCGGUAAGUCGGGUGUGAAACCUCCAGGCUCAACCUGGAGUCGCCACUCGAUACUGCUGUGACUAGAGUCCGGUAGAGGAGCGUGGAAUUCCUGGUGUAGCGGUGAAAUGCGCAGAUAUCAGGAGGAACACCAGCGGCGAAGGCGGCGCUCUGGGCCGGAACUGACGCUGAGGAGCGAAAGCGUGGGUAGCAAACAGG
This 254-nucleotide ribosomal RNA is filed under the name uncultured bacterium. Its description in RNAcentral is "partial 16S ribosomal RNA". It matches the Rfam family "Bacterial small subunit ribosomal RNA", at positions 524 to 776 of the family's 1533-position model. The record is from RNAcentral.